This 433-nucleotide ribosomal RNA is filed under the name uncultured bacterium. Its description in RNAcentral is "partial 16S ribosomal RNA". It matches the Rfam family "Bacterial small subunit ribosomal RNA", at positions 29 to 507 of the family's 1533-position model. The record is from RNAcentral.
AACGAACGCUGGCGGCAUGCCUAACACAUGCAAGUCGAACGAGACCUUCGGGUCUAGUGGCGCACGGGUGCGUAACGCGUGGGAGCCUGCCCUUAGGUUCGGAAUAACUCCCCGAAAGGGGUGCUAAUACCGGAUAAUGUCUUCGGACCAAAGAUUUAUCGCCUUUGGAUGGGCCCGCGUUGGAUUAGCUAGUUGGUAGGGUAAAAGCCUACCAAGGCGACGAUCCAUAGCUGGUCUGAGAGGAUGAUCAGCCACACUGGGACUGAGACACGGCCCAGACUCCUACGGGAGGCAGCAGUGGGGAAUAUCGGACAAUGGGCGAAAGCCUGAUCCAGCAAUGCCGCGUGAGUGAUGAAGGCCUUAGGGUUGUAAAGCUCUUUUACCCGGGAUGAUAAUGACAGUACCGGGAGAAUAAGCUCCGGCUAACUCCGUG